Molecule: ribosomal RNA, 402 nt
Filed under: uncultured prokaryote
Description: bacterial SSU rRNA
Rfam family: Bacterial small subunit ribosomal RNA
Source: RNAcentral
UAGGGAAUAUUAGUAAUGGACGAAAGUCUGAUCUAGCAACACCGCGUGUGCGAAGAGGGCCUUCGGGUCGUAAAGCACUUUUUGGAAGGAAUAGGAAGGAAUGUACUUCCAGAAUAAGUCUCGGUUAACUACGUGCCAGCAGCCGCGGUAACACGUAGGAGGCGAACGUUAUCCGGAUUUACUGGGCGUAAAGCGCGUGUAGGUGGUUCUGUAAGUAGGGCGUGAAAGCUCCUGGCUCAACUGGGAGAGGCCGUUCUAAACUUCAGAACUAGAGGAUGGUAGAGGGAGGUGGAAUUCCAGGUGUAGCGGUGGAAUGCGCAGAUAUCUGGAGGAACACCAGUGGCGAAGGCGGCCUCCUGGACCAUUCCUGACACUCAGACGCGAAAGCUAGGGUAGCAAACG